Long non-coding RNA from Solanum lycopersicum (tomato), 2765 nucleotides. RefSeq lists it as uncharacterized. The record is from RefSeq and is a predicted model, not a curated record. Lineage: Eukaryota; Viridiplantae; Streptophyta; Magnoliopsida; Solanales; Solanaceae.
ACCCGACCCCAAUUUUUUCCCCUUUCCAAGAGAAAUUUAGAGAACGUAACAACACGCAGCAAUUCCAAAUUCCCUUUGUCCGCUCGCCUUCAUUUUCUCCACGCGCGACAAGGUAGUAACAACAAUCGACUACACGACAUCUACAAUGGCUGGCAAGCGUAUUGGACACGAUAUUCAAGCGAUGUCCGAAUUGCGUGAAGGAGAGCGACCAAAACUACACGUGGAAAAGAAUACAAAGUAGCCCUGUGCGGUUUUGGCCUUUUCCUCAUAUGUCGUUUUAAAACCGUAUGACUUCAGCAUUCUAGAAUGGCACACAAAUUGUCCUUGAUAGCGUGGGAUCGAUCCACGUCACUUGCAAGGACAAUCGUUUUGAUCCGUUCGUCCAUUUUCCUUCAUAUUUGGCGAAAGGAUUCAGAUUUUCAAAAGUUUGUUCGUUUCAAAAUGAGAAAAGUUUUUUAGGGUUUCAAUUUGGAUUUGGACCCCCGAAUUCGGACUUUGGUUUCCCCAAUUUCAAUAAUCCUAAACCCCUCCUAUAAAUAUUCUUUUUCUUAGAAGCUUUACCGGGUGGGGAAAAUUUUUCAAAGAGUUUUGUUACAAUUUCAGGGGGAUUUUUUCCAGAGAGUUUUUUUCUUUUUCCAGAGAGAGCAAAAAUUUGAAAAAAGGGAGUUCAGAAAAGUAGCAGGAAUCAUCUGAAAUUUGAAGGAAACAUAACAAUUAUUGGAUGUAAACAUUCACAUACCCAAACAUUUAAGAAUAGAGUAAAACUUCGGAGGAAUUAGUUGGAGUUUAAGCUUUGUUCGAGUCUUUCAGUUAGUCCCUCUGCUCGUCUCCUGUCCCAGUUCGCUGCCCUGCCAAAGCUAAAUGACUCUCUGUCUUCUCUUGCUUUCUUCUUUCCGACUCUGGCGAUUGACCGAAUCAUGGAGUAGUUAUUAUUUAGUUAUGAUCUUACAUGGAGCUUGUCAGGGUCCUAUUAAUCUUAUCUACAUAUUUUCCUACUGGGCCAAAAAGGCCCAAUUCUAUUUCAUCGAGUCCUUUGGCCUUAAAAUUGACGCACAGGUUCCGCAAAAUUGGAGAAUAUGAGGCUAAUUGUAGAGUUGAAGUCUUGCGGCCAAAAUCUCAUAAUUUGUUCAUUUUAGAUUGUAUUUUGUUAUCUUUUGGUCUUAAACCAUUGUUGUCUUUCAUUUAUUGAUUUUUGUAUGAUUAGAUUAGGACAUGUACUAAUUAGAAAUGGGCUAAAAGACCAAGAUGGAAAUGGGUCAAAAUCCCAAAAAGAAAAUUGGUCUAAAUACCGGUCCAGAUGGACAGAACCGGUUUGGACCCAACUCACUCCCUUUCCCUCGUUCACUUUAUUUGCUUAUGCGUUUAGUUAUUUUGACGUUAGUUUUAGGGUCGAAAACUUUAAAUUCACGCAAGACGCUGUUAUCUUUUAAUCAUUUAAACUAAAUCAAUCGACUUCAAAUUGGAUUUAAAAAAAUAAAAUAAAAUAAAAUAUUGCAAGUCAAAAUUUCACUUAGAAAGCAAAUUAAUACUUCAUUUUUCAAACAAAUUUCAUCUCAAAAAAUUAAGUUAGACACUUUAGCUAAAAAUAAAGUUAGUUGUCUUAUAAUUGCGAGUUAGCAAAUAUUUUAGGUGCGGUAACAACCUUCCUAAAAUAUAAAUAGGAAUCCCCGAACCCCUUUAAAGUUUUCUUAAGGUUUUUUUCUGUUUAAUUCUUUUCGAAAACUAAUUUUUCUUGAUUUUUCUUUAAAAAAUUAAGUGCGACUCUAAAAAGUCAAAAAGCAUACAAAAUAUUAUUUUUCUAAAAGCUUAGUAUAAAAUACAGACAUAACUGCGUUGCUUUUCCGUUGAUUUUGACCAAAAAAGUUAUGUAGUCCGUCACUUUUAGCCAUCAUUUUUUGGCAAUUUUAUGUAGUGCAAAUAUGUUUUUUACUACUCAAUUGUGUGUGUACCACAAAUGCGUGACACAUAAUUUUAAAAAUAAUUAUAAAAUGACAUGUAUGAUUAUAAAAUGACACAUACAUAUAGUCACUACACGUCAUUUUUCCUUUUAUUAUAUUAGAUUAAUGUACCAACACUUUUCUUUCUAAUUUUUAUUUCGUUUUGCUAUAACUGUCACCAUCCACACAAUUUCACGUCAUCCCUUCUUCUCAUCUUCCUUACCUUUUUUUUUCUUCUACUUCUUCUACUCUUUCCGUUGGAGUAUAAAAUUUGGCCUGAUUUCUAAUUGUUCACAAUUUCACCGAGUUUGGAGUUGAUUUUGAAUUUUAUUAGAUUGAGGUUUUGGUGGUGACUGGUGGCCUAAGGAAGAGUGGGGUCUUUUGGGUGGUCUGAUUGUUUCUAGUUUUUCAUAAUAUCAUUGAAGCUCGAGGGUGGCGGCAUUAGAAAGGCCGAGACUUAUUGGUAGAGUUGAUUUGGGAUUUUUAUUAUUGUUGUUGGUUCUCGCUUAUAGCUGCUGGUUGAAGAUUGUCGGAGGUGGUGAGAAUGAAGGUGUUUUGGUUGGAGAAUGUGAAAAGGACAAGAGGAAGGCAGUAAGUUUGUGCUUGGUUUGGAUCUAAAUUAGGGGUCAUUGAGUAGUGGAUGACUGAAGCAUGGGUCAAUCUCGAAAACUAUUUGAGGUUCUUUUUGUUUUUGUUUGAUAUUCAACUUGUCUAGGUAGUUUUUUCAAUUUAUUUUCGAAUUUAUUUGUUUUUUAAUGUGGAUUUGAUCUUCUAUUUGUAUCUUUGUUUGAUUUUGGGUUUUAGUCGAUUACAUUGAUUUUGUUGAAA